RNAcentral lists this small RNA (31 nucleotides) under Bombyx mori (domestic silkworm). RNAcentral describes it as "ovarian small RNA-10220". The record is from RNAcentral. Lineage: Eukaryota; Metazoa; Arthropoda; Insecta; Lepidoptera; Bombycidae.
AACACGGAGAAAGCCGCGUGCCCCGCGGUCG